UACGUAGGGUCCGAGCGUUGUCCGGAAUUACUGGGCGUAAAGAGCUCGUAGGUGGUUUGUCGCGUUGUUCGUGAAAACUCACAGCUUAACUGUGGGCGUGCGGGCGAUACGGGCAGACUGGAGUACUGCAGGGGAGACUGGAAUUCCUGGUGUAGCGGUGGAAUGCGCAGAUAUCAGGAGGAACACCGGUGGCGAAGGCGGGUCUCUGGGCCGAAAUUGACGCUGAGGAGCGAAAGCGUGGGGAGCAAACAGG
This 253-nucleotide ribosomal RNA is filed under the name uncultured bacterium. RNAcentral's name for it is "partial 16S ribosomal RNA". It matches the Rfam family "Bacterial small subunit ribosomal RNA", at positions 524 to 776 of the family's 1533-position model. The record is from RNAcentral.